Molecule: ribosomal RNA, 465 nt
Filed under: uncultured bacterium
Lineage: Bacteria
Description: partial 16S ribosomal RNA
Rfam family: Bacterial small subunit ribosomal RNA
Source: RNAcentral
CUACGGGCGGCACCAGUGAGGAAUUUUGCGCAAUGGGGGCAACCCUGACGCAGCAACGCCGCGUGAGUGAAGAAGGCCUUUGGGUCGUAAAGCUCUGUCAACAGGGAAGAAGUUACGGUCGUUUAAGAGAUGUCCGUAUUGACGGUACCUGUGGAGGAAGCAUCGGCUAACUCCGUGCCAGCAGCCGCGGUAAUUCGGGGGAUGCAAGCGUUAUUCGGAAUUAUUGGGCGUAAAGGGCACGCAGGCGGUCUUGUCAGUCAGAUGUGAAAGCCCGGGGCUCAACCCCGGACGUGCAUUUAAAACAGAAAGACUUGAGUACGGUAGAGGAAAGCGGAAUUCCUGGUGUAGAGGUGAAAUUCGUAGAUAUCAGGAGGAACACCGGUGGCGAAGGCGGCUUUCUGGACCGAAACUGACGCUGAGGUGCGAAGGCGUGGGUAGCGAACAGGAUUAGAUACCCUUGUAGUC